GAUGAACGCUGGCGGCGUGCCUAAUACAUGCAAGUAGAACGCUGAAGCUUGGUGCUUGCACCGAGCGGAGGAGUUGCGAACGGGUGAGUAACGCGUAGGUAACCUGCCUCUUAGCGGGGGAUAACUAUUGGAAACGAUAGCUAAUACCGCAUAAAAGUCGACAUUGCAUGAUGUUGACUUGAGAGGUGCAACUGCAUCACUAAGAGAUGGACCUGCGUUGUAUUAGCUAGUUGGUGAGGUAACGGCUCACCAAGGCGACGAUACAUAGCCGACCUGAGAGGGUGAUCGGCCACACUGGGACUGAGACACGGCCCAGACUCCUACGGGAGGCAGCAGUAGGGAAUCUUCGGCAAUGGACGGAAGUCUGACCGAGCAACGCCGCGUGAGUGAAGAAGGUUUUCGGAUCGUAAAGCUCUGUUGUAAGAGAAGAACGAGUGUGAGAGUGGAAAGUUCACACUGUGACG
This 464-nucleotide ribosomal RNA is filed under the name Streptococcus parasanguinis. RNAcentral's name for it is "bacterial SSU rRNA". It matches the Rfam family "Bacterial small subunit ribosomal RNA", at positions 28 to 474 of the family's 1533-position model. Lineage: Bacteria; Bacillati; Bacillota; Bacilli; Lactobacillales; Streptococcaceae. The record is from RNAcentral.